Xylaria sp. FL0043 is the source of this 119-nucleotide non-coding RNA. The record is from the annotation of a GenBank genome assembly. NCBI's taxonomy places the organism in Eukaryota, Fungi, Ascomycota, Sordariomycetes, Xylariales, Xylariaceae.
GGUCUGGUGGUCUAGUGGUAUGAUUCUCGCUUAGGGCUCACCCUGAACUGAGGCCGUGGGAUUAAAUCCCGCUGGUCGCGAUUUGCGAGAGGUCCCGGGUUCAAUCCCCGGCCAGACCC